Molecule: ribosomal RNA, 360 nt
Filed under: uncultured bacterium
Lineage: Bacteria
Description: partial 16S ribosomal RNA
Rfam family: Bacterial small subunit ribosomal RNA
Source: RNAcentral
CCUACGGGAGGCUGCAGUGGGGAAUAUUGGUCAAUGGCCGGAAGGCUGAACCAGCCAAGCCGCGUGAAUGACGAAGGUGCCAAGCAUUGUAAACUUCUUUUGUCAAGGGACAAAAUCAGGCUCGAGAGCCUGACCGAGGGUACUUGAAGAAAAAGCAUCGGCUACCUCCGUGCCAGCAGCCGCGGUAAUACGGAGGAUGCGAGCGUUAUCCGGAUUUAUUGUGUUUCAAGGGUGCGUAGGGGGACUGUUAAGUCAGCGGUAAAAGCCCGGGGCUCACCCCCGGCGAGCCGUUGAAACUGGCUGUCUUGAGAGGUCGAGAGGGAUGCGGAAUGCGAAGUGUAGCGGUGAAAUGCGUAGAUA